This 477-nucleotide ribosomal RNA is filed under the name uncultured bacterium. RNAcentral describes it as "partial 16S ribosomal RNA". It matches the Rfam family "Bacterial small subunit ribosomal RNA", at positions 28 to 523 of the family's 1533-position model. The record is from RNAcentral.
GAUGAACGCUGGCGGCGUGCCUAACACAUGCAAGUCGAACGUGAGGGGGUAGCAAUAUCCCUGAAAGUGGCGCACGGGUGAGUAAUACGUAGGUGACCUGCCCUGGAGAGGGGGAUAACAGCUAGAAAUGGCUGCUAAUACCGCAUACUGCUGUGACACUGGGAAGUGACAUGGUAAAAACUCUGGUGCUUCAGGCGGGGCCUGCGGCCGAUUAGCUAGUUGGCGGGGUAAGAGCCCACCAAGGCAGUGAUCGGUAGCUGGUCUGAGAGGACGAUCAGCCACACGGGAACUGAGACACGGUCCCGACUCCUACGGGGGGCAGCAGUGAGGAAUAUUGGGCAAUGGGCGCAAGCCUGACCCAGCAACGCCGCGUGGAGGAAGACGGCCUUCGGGUUGUAAACUCCUUUUACGGGGGAAGAGGAAGGACGGUACCCCGCGAAUAAGUCACGGCUAACUACGUGCCAGCCGCCGCGGUAA